ACAAAUUCAAAAACAAUCAGAUGAAAGAAAAGAUAUUACAAGCUGCCAAGAAGAAGCCAUUCAGAUACCAUGGAAACAUGGUGAGGUUAACACAGGAUCUGGCUGCAUCCACACUGAAGGACCAAAGGGCAUGGGAUACGAUAUUCCAGAAAGCAAGGGAACUAGGUCUACAACCAAGAAUAAAAUACCCAUCAAAACUAACUAUAUUCUUACAGGGGAAAGUAUGGUCAUUCAACACAACAGAAGAGUUCCAAGCAUUCAUAAAUAAAAGACCAGACCUGAACAGAAACUUUGAUGCCCAACCACAGAACUCAAGAGAAUCAUCAAAAGAAAACUACAUCCACAAGUACAAGAACCAUUAUAAUUUUGAACCAAUAUCAGUGAUGUGUGAAAAUCUGUGGAAGACUGAAAAGGAAUCAUGGUACUGA
RNAcentral lists this long non-coding RNA (428 nucleotides) under Monodelphis domestica (gray short-tailed opossum). RNAcentral describes it as "lncRNA (ENSMODG00000032115.2)". The record is from RNAcentral. Lineage: Eukaryota; Metazoa; Chordata; Mammalia; Didelphimorphia; Didelphidae.